GGAAUUACUGGGCGUAAAGCGUUCGUAGGCGGUUGAAUAAGCAAGAUGUGAAAGCCCAGGGCUCAACCUUGGAACUGCAUUUUGAACUGUUCGACUAGAGUACUGUAGAGGGUGGUGGAAUUUCCAGUGUAGCGGUGAAAUGCGUAGAGAUUGGAAGGAACAUCAGUGGCGAAGGCGGCCACCUGGACAGAUACUGACGCUGAGGAACGAAAGCGUGGGGAGCGAACAGGAUUAGAUACCCUGGUAGUCCACGCCGUAAACGAUGUCAACUAGCCGUUUGUGUCCUUGAGACGUGAGUGGCGCAGCUAACGCACUAAGUUGACCGCCUGGGGAGUACGGCCGCAAGGUUAAAACUCAAAGGAAUUGACGGA
Molecule: ribosomal RNA, 371 nt
Filed under: uncultured bacterium
Lineage: Bacteria
Description: bacterial SSU rRNA
Rfam family: Bacterial small subunit ribosomal RNA
Source: RNAcentral